ACGUCCAUACCAUGCUGAAUAUACCGGUUCUCGUUAGAUCACCGAAGUCAAGCAUCACUGGGAGCGGUCAGUACUUGGUUGGGUGACCACCUGGGAACACCGCGUGCCGUU
RNAcentral lists this ribosomal RNA (111 nucleotides) under Caerostris darwini. Lineage: Eukaryota; Metazoa; Arthropoda; Arachnida; Araneae; Araneidae. The record is from RNAcentral.